AUGGCUAUUUCAACAUUUUAGAUUGUCGACCCCUGCCCUACUUGAUUUGAGUUCGGUAAUAAUAAUUCCGAGGGUUUUAGGACCCUGAUUCCCCAUCACGGAAGCGCCCUCAUCAUCACCAUCUUUAUUACCCCCGUUUCUUCUAACGUUGAGAUGCUAAGCGUCAUCCCACAGGCAUUAUUCAUGUCACUAUUAUUUUUGGUGGGUGGCGAGGAGGACGACGAGUCUUCAGUAGGCGAAAGACCUUACGUGGUCUUACGCAAGCAAAAUUUGGUCACGCUGGGGAGCGUCGUUGGCGUCCUGCUGCUGCUGAUGAUCAUCAUGGCCGUGUGCGUGUACAAGCCCCUCUCCAGGCGGUGAGGUUGUCCUCACUCCACUUCCAUGGAGACAAAAACUCACAAUAAAACACAACCUGAGAGUCCUCUGAUGCUCAUCGAACGCACCUGCUACGGAGAAGUGGUCCUCAGAAUGACUGAAGUGGCAAUGCCACUUGCCUAUUUAUUAGGGACACUUUGAACCCACCUUCUGCCAUAUUUGAAUGCAAUGCAUAUUUAUUUUACGUAAAGAUUGAUGAGAUGUAAAGCAACUCACAAUGGAAUUAGUAAUACAUUUGAUUAGCUAAAACAUAGCCAUUGAUAAAAUGUCUGCCCCAUAUUGAGGUGGGUAGUAACGCGUUACAUUUACAUUGAGCCCUCGUUUUUCGCGGUUAAUAUGGACAAGAACCCACCCGCGAAGUAGCGUCCCACCCCCCAUUUUUUUGUGUGUGUGCAAUGUAUUUAUUCAGAUUUAGCAUCGAAAGAGAUACAUAUAAGACAUGUUUUUUUUUUUCACUUUUUUCCCCCAAAUUAAAAAAUAUAUAAUCCGAAAUCCAAGUAAAUUUACUUGAAGCACUGGCAGAUAAUUUCACUUAUUUGCACUGAAAACAAGGGAAUUUUUUUUUUUUUUUUUUUUUUUUAGAUUUAAGGAGGUGGGUUUUUGCUGUGCAUAUGUAUUGAUUCUGGUGAUAUAACAUUAGAUUGAAACCUUUGUUUUCAAAAACUAUGAAAGAAACAUUUUGAAAACUUCCAGAAUAAAUGUCUGGAUUCUAUUGGCAAAUUUAAAUUGCAUUAUUUGAACACAUAUAUUUAUAAAUCAUUACAAAUAUAUUAUAAAUGUAUAAAAUUAUUGAUAAAUUUUAUAUAUAUAUACACACACAGGAAUUAUUUUUUUUUUUUUUGUAAUCAUCUCUUAGGUAUCCCGGAAUGCAAAAAAAUAAACAUUUGUCUUAAUACCACUCAAAAUUGUCUGUUUAAAUAAAAAAAUAAAAAUAAAAUAAAAAAUCAGUCAGGGAAUAACUAAAAUAAAUACAAAUGGAGCCUUCCUUUAGGAAAAACACUACUGCUUUUGUCCACAAGCACAGCCAAACUCAACAAAAUAAAUGAAAGGUCCUUUGGGCUGCUUGAAGACCACAUAAGCAAAAUGAAAAUGAAAACUGCAGAGAAGGGGGUAAACCUUGGUUCACUACAUUUCUUACAGCUGAGCAGAGUUCACUAUAUUUCUCACAGUUUAAUUAACGUUAACAUAGUAGAAAACACAUACAGGAGGACACUUCUCCUAAGCAGCGUCCUACUCAGGUUAGCAAGUUCAGACAGUUUAAUGCAAUGGUAAAACUUAACUGUGAUGCAGGUCUGACUUUCAGUAGCAAAACUAGUGGUGCUUUUCCCACCUUCACAACAAUGACUUUCCACAUUACUCACAGCGGCUGCUGGCCGAAAAAAACUUCUAAUAUUCCUCCUCUUCGGCGGAGGAAGCGGCAUGUCGACAUGUAACGUAAUUCUGCACUGUGAGAAAGUGUGCAUGUGUGCGUGGAAGGUGUGUGUGUGUGGGGGGGUCAACUCAUCAGCCAAUCAAACGUGCAUUUGAGGAAAAAAACAUUGACUGCCUCAUUCGGCAAACGAAAAAAGUCUGACGUCUCAUUGGUGAAACUGUUUGUGUCUCUGGCAAAAUAAAAAAGUAAAAUCUAAUAUGUAGAAUAAAAAGGAAAAAUAUAACAACUAGUGUAGCCCAAAGAAACGGAGUCAGAGAGGUGUUUCUUCACAAAUCUACUCAAGUACUCUUAAAAGUACAUUUUUCUCAAAAAGUUACUCAAGUAAAUGUAACAGAGUAAAUGUAACGCAUUCCUACCCACCUCUAAAAACAUGCUUGCAUUGUAUCCAAAUUAUUGUUACUUUGUUGCUGUUGUGCUGCUGCCGUGCCGUGCAGAGCGCUACUGGAUAUUCGUGCGCAAUUUAUUUUAGUGUUUUGAAAAGUGGGUGUCAAACCGAUGCAUACUCUUUUAGUCUUCAAAUGUGUCCGUGUGUCAUUGCGCCAUCAAGCUAUGGGGAUUUGCAAAUAAUAAACAGAUGCUUUAAUUUCCACAAAAAAACUCCAACACACACUGUAGGUGAAAUAGAACGCUGUCUUUGUAGUAGCCUAGUAGUAAUACGUACACAAUCCAGCAUUGUGCACACCUUGUUUGGACCGAAACGGCUGUUUUUAGAUGGGAAAAACUAAAAAAAGAUCCUCAGCACCCCCUGCUGGGAGCGACUUCCAGCGCCCCUGAUGUCUGCAUUGUCAUAGAUGCAUGAAGCCACAACUUGUCGUAGGAUUUAUUGAAAUAAAGUGCUUUUAUUUUAUGAA
Molecule: long non-coding RNA, 2658 nt
Organism: Corythoichthys intestinalis (scribbled pipefish)
Lineage: Eukaryota; Metazoa; Chordata; Actinopteri; Syngnathiformes; Syngnathidae
Exons: 2
Source: RefSeq, a predicted model, not a curated record